CAGCAGCCGCGGUAAUACGAAGGGUGCAAGCGUUAAUCGGAAUCACUGGGCGUAAAGCGUGCGUAGGUGGUGGUUUAAGUCCGUUGUGAAAGCCCUGGGCUCAACCUGGGAAUUGCAGUGGAUACUGGGUCACUAGAGUGUGGUAGAGGAUAGUGGAAUUUCCGGUGUAGCAGUGAAAUGCGUAGAGAUCGGAAGGAACAUCUGUGGCGAAGGCGACUAUCUGGGCCAACACUGACACUGAGGCACGAAAGCGAGGGGAGCAAACAGGAUUAGAUACCCCGGUAGUCCCUGUCUCUUAUAC
Molecule: ribosomal RNA, 301 nt
Filed under: uncultured bacterium
Lineage: Bacteria
Description: partial 16S ribosomal RNA
Rfam family: Bacterial small subunit ribosomal RNA
Source: RNAcentral